CACUAGGAGAAACUUUACUCCUAGCAGUACCUGCCCAGUGCAAAGUUGUAAACGGCCGCCCUAGCGUGAGGGUGCCAAGGUAGCGAAAUUCCUUGCCUUUUAAUUGUAGGCCUGCAUGAAUGGAUUGACGAGGGUCAAACUGUCUCUUGCUUUGUGUAGCGAAAUUGGACUGAAGGUGAAGAUACCUUCAUAUAAAAGUUAGACAAGAAGACCCCGUGCAGCUUUUAAAAACUUACUUAUUAAGAGUUAUAAGAUUUUUAGGUGGGGCGCCUAGGAAGUAAAACUUAACCUUCUUAUUUGUUAAAGAUAACUGUCUGGUGUAGACCCGGCAAGUCCGAUCAUGGGAGAAGUUACGCCGGGGAUAACAGGCUUAUCCAUUAGUAGAGCUCGUAUUGGCUAAAUGGGAUUGGCACCUCGAUGUUGAAUUAAGGAUAAUACCUCUAAGGCGUAGAGGCUUUGGAAGUGGGUCUGUUCGACCUUUAAUACCUU
This 489-nucleotide ribosomal RNA is filed under the name Saccostrea sp. lineage A NGW-2020. RNAcentral's name for it is "partial large subunit ribosomal RNA". It matches the Rfam family "Bacterial large subunit ribosomal RNA", at positions 1832 to 2597 of the family's 2925-position model. The record is from RNAcentral. Lineage: Eukaryota; Metazoa; Mollusca; Bivalvia; Ostreida; Ostreidae.